This 65-nucleotide transfer RNA is filed under the name Dipodomys ordii (Ord's kangaroo rat). It matches the Rfam family "tRNA". Rfam says of the family: Transfer RNA (tRNA) molecules are approximately 80 nucleotides in length. Lineage: Eukaryota; Metazoa; Chordata; Mammalia; Rodentia; Heteromyidae. The record is from Rfam by way of RNAcentral.
GGUGGCUCAGUGGUAGAGCACUUGCCUAACAUACAAGAAGCCCUGGGUUCAAUUCCUUAGUACCA